GAUGAACGCUGGCGGCGUGCUUAACACAUGCAAGUCGAACGAGAAGUGAAGACGGAAACCUUCGGGCGGAAGGCUUUAUUUCGAGUGGCGGACGAGUGAGUAACGCGUGGGUAACCUGCCUCAUACAGGGGGAUAACAGUUGGAAACGACUGUUAAUACCGCAUAAGACCACAGCACCGCAUGGUGCGGGGGUAAAAACUCCGGUGGUAUGAGAUGGACCCGCGUGCGAUUAGCCAGUUGGCGGGGUAACGGCCCACCAAAGCGACGAUCGAUAGCCGAUCUGAGAGGCUGACCGGCCACAUUGGGACUGAGACACGGCCCACACUCCUACGGGAGGCAGCAGUGGGGAAUAUUGCACAAUGGGGGAAACCCUGAUGCAGCGACGCCGCGUGAGUGAAGAAGUAUUUCGGUAUGUAAAGCUCUAUCAGCAGGGAAGAAAAUGACGGUACCUGAGUAAGAAGCCCCGGCUAACUACGUG
Molecule: ribosomal RNA, 478 nt
Filed under: uncultured bacterium
Lineage: Bacteria
Description: partial 16S ribosomal RNA
Rfam family: Bacterial small subunit ribosomal RNA
Source: RNAcentral